RNAcentral lists this ribosomal RNA (253 nucleotides) under uncultured prokaryote. RNAcentral describes it as "partial 16S ribosomal RNA". It matches the Rfam family "Bacterial small subunit ribosomal RNA", at positions 524 to 776 of the family's 1533-position model. The record is from RNAcentral.
UACGAAGGGGGCAAGCGUUGUCCGGAUUUAUUGGGCGUAAAGAGCGUGUAGGCGGCCGCACAGGUCCGUUGUGAAAACUGGAGGCUCAACCUUCAGACGUCGAUGGAAACCGUGCGGCUAGAGUCCGGAAGAGGAGAGUGGAAUUCCUGGUGUAGCGGUGAAAUGCGCAGAUAUCAGGAAGAACACCCGUGGCGAAGGCGGCCCUCUGGGACGGUACUGACGCUGAGACGCGAAAGCGUGGGGAGCGAACAGG